Molecule: ribosomal RNA, 468 nt
Filed under: uncultured bacterium
Lineage: Bacteria
Description: partial 16S ribosomal RNA
Rfam family: Bacterial small subunit ribosomal RNA
Source: RNAcentral
GACGAACGCUGGCGGCGUGCUUAACACAUGCAAGUCGAACGGAAAGGCCCUUCUGGGGGGGGAUGCUCGAGGGGCGAACGGGUGAGUAACACGUGAGUAACCUGCCCUUGACUUUGGGAUAACGUCAGGAAACUGGGGCUUAUACCGUAUAGGAUCGCCUGCUGCAUGGUGGGGGUGGGAAAGUUGCGGCGGUUGGGGAUGGACGCGCGGCUUAUCAGCUGGUUGGUGGGGUGGUGGCUUACCAAGGCUUUGGCGGGUAGCCGGCCUGGGAGGGUGCCCGGCCACAUUGGGACUGGGAUACGGCCCGGACUCCUCCGGGGGGCAGCAGUGGGGAAUAUGGAAAAAUGGGCGGAAGCCUGAUGAAGCAACGCCGCGUGCGGGAUGACGGCCUUCGGUUUGUAACCCGCUUUCGCCUGUACCGAAGCGUGAGUGACGGUAAUGGGUAAAGAAGCACCGGCUAACUACGUG